Molecule: ribosomal RNA, 411 nt
Filed under: uncultured Methanosaeta sp.
Lineage: Archaea; Methanobacteriati; Methanobacteriota; Methanomicrobia; Methanotrichales; Methanotrichaceae
Description: bacterial SSU rRNA
Rfam family: Archaeal small subunit ribosomal RNA
Source: RNAcentral
CACCGGGGCGACAGCAAUAUGAAGGUCAGGCUGAAGACCUUACCCGAUUAGCUGAGAGGUGGUGCAUGGCCGUCGUCAGUUCGUACUGUGAAGCAUCCUGUUAAGUCAGGCAACGAGCGAGACCCACGUCCACAGUUGCCAGCAUACCUCCGGGGUGAUGGGUACACUGUGGAGACCGCCGCUGCUAAAGCGGAGGAAGGAGUGGGCAACGGUAGGUCAGUAUGCCCCGAAUCUCCCGGGCUACACGCGGGCUACAAUGGUUGGUACAAUGGGCAUCGUACCCCGAAAGGGGAAGGAAAUCCUCUUAAAGCCAAUCGUAGUUCGGAUUGAGGGCUGCAACUCGCCCUCAUGAAGCUGGAAUCCGUAGUAAUCGCGUUUCAACAGAACGCGGUGAAUACGUCCCUGCUCCUU